GCAGACAGAAACCACUGAGAUUAAGCCCCUGCUUUUAAAAACAGGCUCAUGUGGGCAGGGCCCCAGCAAUGCUACCUUCAGGAGACUUUGAUUAGUGGCCACAAGCAGUACCACAGUUCCUUCAGAAGAUAAAAACCUUAGAGAUCCUCUAGUCUAAACCUACCCAUUUCACAGGGAGGAACCCGAGACCCCGGGAAACAGGUGCUGAUGGACGAUGAAGAGGCCUGCAAAGGCAUCUAGCCCUUCAGCUUUGUGCUUUGUGCUUUGGGACUAACACCCAGAGGCCUGUGGUGGUGUUUUGGUAAAUGACACCAGUCACUCCCACUGGCUCAGACUGACCAAUUAGAAAUAGCUAUCUCCUCUUGCCAGCAUGGAAAGUUAACAGACAUGCAACAGAUUUAUUUCAUUUCAGAUGGAAUAUAUCAUAAACUAUUAGACUAUCCACUAUGGUUUGUAUACAGACAGAUAAAUAUUUAGGGUGGGGCUAUCUAGAAGCACAAGUGUGGAUAUAAGAACUGCAGGAAGGCCUCUACAUUGAAUCUGACUCCCUGAAUGAAUAGUGACAAAGUGCUGCUAAUAGCAUUUUGAAGGGUACUUGAAAUCAAGGAAGGGUUUCAGAUGUGUCCAUUUUUAUUUAAAAUUAUUUUGACAAAGAUAGAAAUGUGUAGUGGAAAAAAAUAAAAUUAAAAAAAUGUGUAGUGGGAAAAAAAAAGUCUCAUAUGCAGCCAGAGAAAGAAGCAUAGUUAAUAUUUCGUGAGAAAGGGAGAAGGAAAUCAUGUUAAAUACAGUUAUUCUGGCUUUUUUCAUUUCUUUAUUUUUAAACUUCUUUGGAGGCUUAAACAAAUGAAUUCACUCUUUUUUUUUUUAAAGUAGACUCCGUGCCAAAUGUGGGGCUUGAACUAAAGACUCUGAGAUUAAGAGUCACAUGCUCUACCAACUGAGCCAGCCAGCUUCCUCUAAACAAAUAAGUAAAAAUACACAGACCAAAUGUUUACUGGAUAUCAAUUGCCUAUGAUCAAUGAGGAAUCAUAUUAUUACUAACAGAUAACUGACAGCUUAUAGUCACGCAGUCCUGAGUAAUUGCAAGGUUCUUGGUCACAGCUCCUAAUGCUCACUGAUGUCUCCAACAGGUGUGGGGUCCUACUGGUGCUGGUUUGCUGGUCAUGACCAAGAUCAUUUUCUCAGCUUGCCCACAGUGCUGCUUCUUGAAAUUCUUAAGCCCCAGGGAACUCUUCCACACCCUCUAACUUCCUGUAACUGAGCUCUAGGGUCUGGCACAUCUCUACCUAGCACUCCUCUUACUGUAAUAUAUUUAAGUUAGUGUUUCCACUGCAUUGCAAAAUCCUUGAAGGCAGGGAAAGGCUGCACUCUUCUGUUGUUUUGUUUUGUUUUGUUUUAUCCCCCACAGGGCUUUCAUAUAGCCUUGAUGGAACUCAAAAUAUCUGUUGGGAUCAUACUGAAAUUUUCAGCCUCUUUGUUCCUUAUCAAGUCUACUCAGAUACAACCACAACAGUAAAAUUGCAACAACAUAGAGAGAAGUCAGUGGGUGCUCAUUAUAAAGCACAGAAAACAAAUUAGGUUAAAGCACAAUUAUUAAUACCAUACAGACGAAUCAUGGCCUGUACUAUUAUUAAUAACUGUAGCAAUAAUAUCUAACUGUAAGCAAUCGCUCUACACUAUUGGUCACUGCAGAUCAUUCUUGGCUUUCUAAUGUGAACAACAUUGCAGCUCAAGGCUGAUGUAGACUAGAGUUCCCAUUGCAUCAGAAUAGCACAGUAGUUCAAUAAUUUUGUCCCGAGAAGACAGAGAUGCAGAACAAAAAAGAAGUGAACGAACAAGUCAGCCUUUCCAUUCUCCACGUCCUUUCUUUCCCAUUUUGCCAAUCUGAUUUCACUCAAAGUGACUCAUGGUGCAACAGAAAACAUGAAAAUUGCCUUCAGAUGUGCAGAGGUUAGUAACUACUUAGUUUUCAAAACCAGCUCAUCUUCCAGUAACACUAUAGUUGCCUUCCAUUCCAUUUCACUUAGCUCGGCAUCUGAACAGCUGCAAAAAAAAAAAAAAAAAAAAAAAAAAA
RNAcentral lists this long non-coding RNA (2074 nucleotides) under Canis lupus familiaris (dog). RNAcentral describes it as "lncRNA (ENSCAFG00000056310.1)". The record is from RNAcentral. Lineage: Eukaryota; Metazoa; Chordata; Mammalia; Carnivora; Canidae.